This 496-nucleotide ribosomal RNA is filed under the name uncultured bacterium. Its description in RNAcentral is "partial 16S ribosomal RNA". It matches the Rfam family "Bacterial small subunit ribosomal RNA", at positions 29 to 507 of the family's 1533-position model. The record is from RNAcentral.
AUGAACGCUGGCGGCGUGCCUAAUACAUGCAAGUCGAGCGAACAGAUGAGGAGCUUGCUCCUCUGACGUUAGCGGCGGACGGGUGAGUAACACGUGGAUAACCUACCUAUAAGACUGGGAUAACUUCGGGAAACCGGAGCUAAUACCGGAUAAUAUAUUGAACCGCAUGGUUCAAUAGUGAAAGACAGUUUUGCUGUCACUUAUAGAUGGAUCCGCGCCGCAUUAGCUAGUUGGUAAGGUAACGGCUUACCAAGGCAACGAUGCGUAGCCGACCUGAGAGGGUGAUCGGCCACACUGGAACUGAGACACGGUCCAGACUCCUACGGGAGGCAGCAGUAGGGAAUCUUCCGCAAUGGGCGAAAGCUUGACGGAGCAACGCCGCGUGAGUGAUGAAGGUCUUCGGAUCGUAAAACUCUGUUAUUAGGGAAGAACAAAUGUGUAAGUAACUAUGCACGUCUUGACGGUACCUAAUCAGAAAGCCACGGCUAACUACGUG